Non-coding RNA from Arachis ipaensis, 2368 nucleotides. Lineage: Eukaryota; Viridiplantae; Streptophyta; Magnoliopsida; Fabales; Fabaceae. The record is from RefSeq and is a predicted model, not a curated record.
CCGCCUCCAACUUCUGAACACAAUUUUACCCCCAAAUUCCUCAUCAACCCUCAUUUUACCGCAAAUUCCUCACCAACCCUCAUCUCCGCUGCCGGUGUCACAGUUGCGCUGCCGUCACUCCGUUUGCUCGCGCCGCCGUCGCGCUGUGUUGUUGCCGUGCUGUUGUCGCUCCUCUUGCUCGCGCCGCCCGUCGCUCCGCUGCUGCCGCGCUAUCAUCGCUCCUUCUCUCUGUUGCCGCCGUCGCUCCUCCUACUUUGGUCCUUCUCUGUUCUCUCUCAAUUGAUGGAUGCAUUGCUGGAAUUUCAGCAAUGGCCGUUACUGUUCAUCUCCCUUCUGAUUUUUCCCUCUACUUUUCUUUCUCUCAAAUACCAAAAGGUUACUUCUUACUUUGCUCUAAUCAUAGCUCUCUUUUAUUCUUUCUUUUUUUCAGUUUCAAAUUUUUUUUUCUUCUUUUAUGUUUCCGACUUCAACACCGGUUCCUGAGUUGAGAGCUCAAUUCAAUUCAAUUCACCACCGAAGUCAUGAAAUGGAAACAGUUUUUUGUCGUUUUCGGUGAUGAUUUUGUGAUUUCAUUUCAACGGUUGUGGCUUGUGGGAAGUUAUUGGUUGAGUUGAGAAAGCAUGGGAAAUGGAAAUAAGCAGGGGAGGAGGAAGAAGAGGAGGAGUUUGAAGAACAUGAUGCAGUGCCUGUGCUCAGGGGAGCAGUUGAGAUGAGAAGGAGGCAUGGAUGAGAUGGCAGUUCAAAGGAGGUUGGAUGCAGGAAAUAUCAAAGAAGCUGAAUCGUCGUUGCGUGAGGCUGGCUGCUUGAAUUAUGAGGUAUUUUCUAUAGUAAUGGUUCAUCAUUGGAUGCAAUAGCAGAUACUGACUGAUGUAGUUAGUGGUACUUAGUGGGAAAAUUUUUCCAGUUUCUUUCUUGUUCUAACUAGUUCUGAAACCAAGACUAGUUGAGUGAAAUCGUCUACUACUACAAGUGUAGAACUAGCUUGCUUGCUUGUUUGUUUUUGGUUGCCAGAAUCACUUUGACCAAGAAAGAAUCAUUGAAUGGCACCAAACAAGAGAGGAUCAUCAAGCUAUGAGGGUAAUGAUGAGAGAGACCUUCAGCUCCCUCUUUGUAAACGAAAAGUAGCACUACCAGACACCCGGUACCUCUCUUCUCUUGAUUCCACCAAUGACAUGGCGUUGAUCUUGGAACCUGUAAUUCGGAAAGUGUUACAGGAGAUGAUGCCACCUAUACUAGAACAGGUGAUGCCACGUAUGCUGGAACAGGUGAUUCCACCUAUACUGCAGCGUUACCUACCUUCCCCCAUGUGAUGGAUUAUCGGUCAGGGGGCAGAUUAGUCUAGCAGCUGGUAGAGGCAGAUCAUUGCAGUUAUGUCUGAUGAAAAGGGUUGCCUGCAACCAUUUUCACACAGAUCAACAUCACAGCAGAGGACAGUUCCCCGCUCCAGGUUGCAGUGUGUGAUGCCACAAUUCAGAACACCAAGGUAACAAAGGGAGAUGGUCCCUCCUUGAAGGUGCAGCUGUGUGUCCUGAAGGCUGAUUUUGAAAGUGAGGAUUGGACUGCUGAGGAAUUUAAUAGCAACAUAGAAAGUCCAAGAGAAGGAAAAGGACCAUUACUCAAAGGAGACACGGUUAUUACCAUGGUGAAGCACUUCAUGCUGCCCAAAAACGCGAGCCUAAGGGACGCUUCCGCCGCGGAGCUCCCCAAACAGAGGCCGAGCAACUCUCGCAAGCACAAACCCUCAAAAGAGAAUGACCCUCCCUCAGAUCCCAAUAUUUUCGCUGUCGCCGCUUCCGAUUCAAAGCCUUCGCCGGCCAAAUUGAAGAGCCCCCUGCCUCCAAGACCUCCUUCUUCCAAUCAACUGAAGAGGAAGCUCAGCGCCGAUGCUUUUGCUGACAACUCGGUCCCCACCGGAUCCUCCGAUUCCGGUGUUAGGGUUGUUGUGAGGAUGAGGCCACUGUGCAAGGACAAGGAUGAAUAGGAUCCUAUAGUUCAGAAGAUCUCUGAUGAUUCGGUGUCGAUGAAUGGCUAGACUUUCACCUUCGAUUCGGUUGCAGAUAUGGAAGCUACGCAAGCAUGGUUUAACUUUCUAUUUGACCCAAAAUUUGAUUAUCUGUAGUGUUUUUAUCUUCUUUUGUUCUUGUAAUAAUGCAUAGAAAAUGAGAAGGGUAGUUAUGAUAAUGUAUACUGAUAGCUAUAGUGAUUGGAAAAGAAAAACUGUAGAAAGAAUUUGAAAAGAAAUGAUUUAGUUAAUUAAUGAGGAUAGGAUUUUCAGAGCCUCGCACUGGUGAUUGUCUUUGUCUUUUUCUCUACACUACUAAUGAUAUGAUAUGAUACAUCAAAUAGUAUGUAGUGCUUUGAUUCCUGA